This 507-nucleotide ribosomal RNA is filed under the name uncultured bacterium. Its description in RNAcentral is "partial 16S ribosomal RNA". It matches the Rfam family "Bacterial small subunit ribosomal RNA", at positions 28 to 507 of the family's 1533-position model. The record is from RNAcentral.
GACGAACGCUGGCGGCGUGCCUAAUACAUGCAAGUCGAACGCAUUUUCUUUCCCCGUCGCUUGCUCCACCGAGAGAAACUGAGUAGCGACCGGGUGAUUAACACGUGUGUAACCUGCCCUUCCGCGGGGGAUAACACUCGGAUACCGGUUCUAAUACCGCAUAAUUCCAUUUGCCGCAUAGUAAAUGGAUGGAUGGCGCUUUUGCGUCGCUGUUGGAUGUACUCGCGGUGCUUUGGCUAGUAGGUGGGGUAACGGCCUACCAAGGCUGCGAUGCAUACCCGACCGGAGAGGGGGAGCAGCCACCCUGGGACGGAGACACGGCCCAGAGGCCUACAGGAGGCAGCAGUACGGAAUCGUCAGCAAUGGGCGCAAGUCUGACCGAGCAACGCCGCGUGAUGGAAGAGGGUUUUCGGAUCGGAGAACUCGGUUGUUAGAGAAGAACAAGGAUGAGAGUGGAAAGUUCAGCCCGUGACGGUAUCUAACCAGAAAGCCACGGCUAACUACGUG